CGUGUAGGCGGCCUAAUAAGUUAGAAGUGAAACCUAUCGGCUCAACUGAUAGCCUGCUUCUAAACUGCUAAGCUUGAGUGCAGAAGAGGGGAGUGGAAUUCCCAGUGUAGCGGUGAAAUGCGUAGAUAUUGGGAGGAACACCAGUGGCGAAAGCGGCUCCCUGGUCUGUAACUGACGCUGAGGCGCGAAAGCGUGGGUAGCAAACA
RNAcentral lists this ribosomal RNA (206 nucleotides) under uncultured Peptococcaceae bacterium. RNAcentral describes it as "partial 16S ribosomal RNA". It matches the Rfam family "Bacterial small subunit ribosomal RNA", at positions 568 to 774 of the family's 1533-position model. Lineage: Bacteria; Bacillati; Bacillota; Clostridia; Eubacteriales; Peptococcaceae. The record is from RNAcentral.